Molecule: long non-coding RNA, 2191 nt
Organism: Centrocercus urophasianus (Greater sage-grouse)
Lineage: Eukaryota; Metazoa; Chordata; Aves; Galliformes; Phasianidae
Exons: 4
Source: RefSeq, a predicted model, not a curated record
GCGUUGCUUAAUCAGGGAAAUCUGUGUCUUGUGAGCUCAUACCCUGAUAAGUUCUGGAGUGGGAACUGGGCUGGGGUAGAGAGGUGGAGGGAGAUGACGGUGCUCUGCACGCCUUCACCACGCAUCUGGCACUUCCUCCUGGGCAGGAAAAAGCCACCAAAAUUGAACAUUUAUGGGCUGAUCCUUGCAGGAACUGUUCACCCGAAAGUCCCUUUGCUGAGGUCAUGGCACUCCCCUUGAGGAACCAGCAACAGCGGAGGGUUGCUUCUUGAGCUGCCCUUGGAAGGUUUUACAAUGUAAAACAGAGGAAGGACCAAAAACAGAUGGAGGUGAAACCAGGGGAUUUGAGGGAGCAGCUGAGGGCAAUGAUGAGUGCUGAUAGAGAUGGAGCAGGGAGGGUAGCUCUGGAGUAUUGGGAGCAACUGAUGUAGGCUGGUAGUGCCCCCCUGCCCUGAGACCUGCAGCAGCACAGUGCUGGAGUAGCUGUGGUUCUUGAGGGCUGUGUGAUACAUGCUCGCUCCAUAGGAGAGAGAGGGAGAAAUCAGUCGCUCCUCGAGGAGAUCCGUCUCCAUCAGUCAACCAGCUGCAUCCCUUCAUAAAUCUUCCCUAAAAAAUAUCAGCACCUUCUCAGGCUGCCAUCUGUUUAUUUGGUUGGACUCAGAACUUGCUGAAAUGUCUUUCGAUGGAUGAAGCAACGGAGAGUAGAAGAACAGAGCCUGGCAGGCUGCUUGGUGAGUGGAAAAUAAUUUUUUGGGACAUUCUGGAGUUUGAAGCCCUGAUGAUGGAUGUGCAUGCAAGAGAUGGUAAUGGCUUUGUAAGUAUCAAAACACAGAGCAAGAGAAUAACUCUGCCUAAUAGACUGAGGAAUGGAUGCUGGGCAGGAUCUGUUCUGCUCUGACACAGCUGGAUGAUGGAGUGCUGUGGGCUCGGGAGUUAAACACUGCAUUUGUUUAAUGUGUUGGAAAAAAAACCCAGGAUAAGUAGUUUUGAAAAAUAUUACAUGCUCACUAUGAAUGUGUUGGAAAAUCGUAGCAUCGCUAAGGUUGGAAAAGACCUCUAAGAUCACCACGUCCAACUGUUAACCCAUCACCAGCACAGCCAAGCUCACAGUGUUGGGUAUGGGGGUUUUGCUGGUUGCUGCACCAAGGAAAGGCUUUGCUGAUCCCACUCCUAGUUAAGGGGGUUUUGGUGCCCCACUUCCAACCUGGCUGACGUGGAAGCAGGGCUGAGCUGGCAGAUGUGGGUGAUCCUCAGCAUGGGUGCUGCCUUUUAUCCGCAUGCUGACUGAGAGCAGGAUAGGGGCACAGGCUGCCAGGGACCACAGAGCUGUGGCACUGAGGGAGGUAGCAGUGGGAUUGGUGGGGUGGGCUUGGGGAUCUGAGAGGACUUUUCCAACCUUCGUGUCUCUGUGAUUCUUUAGGGUGAUGUUUUGGUUUUUUUCCCUGCUUGAAGGGUUUUUCUCUGGGUUAAUCCAGCACAACUCCUGGAACAGGUGGAAGUGAGAUAGCAGAUAACAGGACUGCAGGAGUGUCUGCAUGGCAGGUUUUUGGGACUGGAUGUCUUCCCUCCCAACACCUGGUGGCUUUGUCCAGCUGCAGCCUUGGGAGGAUGAUCUGCCUGUGUUUGGCUCGUGUCCUUGGGGGCUGAAAAUGAAAAACAACAAGAAGAGAAAACUUGCUGUCAGCAAUACUCUGUAUAUCCAGAGCUGUGCUAGGGAACCGCCAAGCUUCCUGAUACCCUGUGUUGGCUGAGAGGCAAUGAGAUUAAGGGAAGCAUAACUUCCAUAAAGAAUUUUUUUGAAGGGCAAAACAAAACAGAUCAUUUCCUCGAUUUAAUGUGAGCCAAUUAUGGCUCAUGGGCUGUUAACUUCAUCACCGCUUCUUCCAAGAAAGACGUUGGGUAAAACGAACCAGCACAGCUCCGCGUGCGCCCGGCAAAGCCUCAGCCCUGGCCAUUUAUCCCCGCGGAUGGAAAAAAGCUAAAGCCUAUGUCACACAAAUGCCCUCUAAAGUAUCCAACCACUUGUUGUACAUCUGCUGACGGAUACCAACUGGAAAGGAGAUUAGCGCUCAGACUCCCGCGCUGGGCUGUCUGCUGCUCCUAAUGAGGACCAGAUUGCAGCCCCCGCCGGCGCUGCACCUCCAGCGGAUGGCGGGAUGGGGAGGUGCCAGGGCGCGUGCCAGCAGCGUGG